Molecule: ribosomal RNA, 456 nt
Filed under: uncultured bacterium
Lineage: Bacteria
Description: partial 16S ribosomal RNA
Rfam family: Bacterial small subunit ribosomal RNA
Source: RNAcentral
UAGGGAAUCUUCCACAACGGACGCAAGUCUGAUGGAGCAACGCCGCGUGAGUGAAGAAGGCUUUCGGGUCGUAAAACUCUGUUAUUGAAGAAGAACGUGUGUGACAGUAACUGGUCAUGCAGUGACGGUAUUCAAUCAGAAAGUCACGGCUAACUACGUGCCAGCAGCCGCGGUAAUACGUAGGUGGCAAGCGUUGUCCGGAUUUAUUGGGCGUAAAGCGAGUGCAGGCGGUCUUUUAAGUCUGAUGUGAAAGCCUUCGGCUUAACCGAAGAAGGGCAUCGGAAACUGGGAGACUUGAGUGCAGAAGAGGAGAGUGGAACUCCAUGUGUAGCGGUGAAAUGCGUAGAUAUAUGGAAGAACACCAGUGGCGAAGGCGGCUCUCUGGUCUGUAACUGACGCUGAGGCUCGAAAGCGUGGGUAGCAAACAGGAUUAGAUACCCUGGUAGUCCACGCCGU